GAUGAACGCUGGCGGCGUGCCUAAUACAUGCAAGUCGAGCGAACAGACGAGGAGCUUGCUCCUCUGACGUUAGCGGCGGACGGGAGAGUAACACGUGGAUAACCUAACUAUAAGACUGGGAUAAUUUCGGGAAACCGGAGCUAAUACCGGAAAAUAUAUUGAACCGAAAGGUUCAAUAGUGAAAGAAGGUUUUGCUGUCACUAAUAGAUGGAUCAGCGGCGCAUGAGUUAGUUGGUAAGGUAAAGGCUUACCAAGGCAACGACGCGGAGCCGACCUGAGGGGGUGGACGGCCAGACGGUAUGAGAGGCACGCCACAGACUCCGGCAGGGAGAAACGGUAGAGAAUCUUCCGGGAUGGACGAGUGCUGAACGGUGCAACGCCGGGUAAAUGAUGAAGGUGUUCUGAUGGGAGAACGCUGUAAGUAGGAGGGUACAAAAGUUUUAGUAACUAGGCACAUCUUGACGGUACCUGGAGAAAAAGCCACGGCUAACUACGUG
This 497-nucleotide ribosomal RNA is filed under the name uncultured bacterium. RNAcentral's name for it is "partial 16S ribosomal RNA". It matches the Rfam family "Bacterial small subunit ribosomal RNA", at positions 28 to 507 of the family's 1533-position model. The record is from RNAcentral.